Molecule: ribosomal RNA, 52 nt
Filed under: Alteribacter keqinensis
Lineage: Bacteria; Bacillati; Bacillota; Bacilli; Caryophanales; Bacillaceae
Description: Bacillus sp. KQ-3 partial 23S ribosomal RNA
Source: RNAcentral
AGCAUGGCAACAUGCGGAGCUGAGAGAUACUAAUCGAUCGAGGGCUUAUCCA